This 439-nucleotide ribosomal RNA is filed under the name uncultured bacterium. RNAcentral describes it as "partial 16S ribosomal RNA". It matches the Rfam family "Bacterial small subunit ribosomal RNA", at positions 339 to 795 of the family's 1533-position model. The record is from RNAcentral.
CUACGGGCUGCACCAGUGGGGAAUAUUGCACAAUGGAGGAAACUCUGAUGCAGCAACGCCGCGUGGAGGAUGACACUUUUCGGAGCGUAAACUCCUUUUAUAUAGGAAGAAGAUGACGGUACUAUAUGAAUAAGCGCCGGCUAACUCCGUGCCAGCAGCCGCGGUAAUACGGAGGGCGCAAGCGUUACUCGGAAUCACUGGGCGUAAAGAGCGUGUAGGCGGAUUAAAAAGUCAGAAGUGAAAUCCUAUAGCUUAACUAUAGAACUGCUUCUGAAACUCUUAAUCUAGAAUAUGGGAGAGGUAGAUGGAAUUUCUGGUGUAGAGGUAAAAUCCGUAGAGAUCAGAAGGAAUACCGAUUGCGAAGGCGAUCUACUAGAACAUUAUUGACGCUGAGACGCGAAAGCGUGGGGAGCAAACAGGAUUAGAUACCCUGGUAGUC